UACGUAGGGUGCGAGCGUUGUCCGGAAUUAUUGGGCGUAAAGAGCUUGUAGGCGGUCUGUCGCGUCUGCUGUGAAAAUCCGGGGCUCAACCCCGGACUUGCAGUGGGUACGGGCAGACUAGAGUGUGGUAGGGGAGACUGGAAUUCCUGGUGUAGCGGUGAAAUGCGCAGAUAUCAGGAGGAACACCGAUGGCGAAGGCAGGUCUCUGGGCCACUACUGACGCUGAGGUGCGAGAGCGUGGGGAGCGAACCGG
Molecule: ribosomal RNA, 253 nt
Filed under: uncultured bacterium
Lineage: Bacteria
Description: partial 16S ribosomal RNA
Rfam family: Bacterial small subunit ribosomal RNA
Source: RNAcentral